UACAGAGGGGCAAGCGUUGUUCGGAAUUACUGGGCGUAAAGGGCGCGUAGGCGGCCCGCUAAGUCGAACGUGAAAUCCCCGGGCUCAACCCGGGAACUGCGUCCGAUACUGGUGGGCUUGAAUCCGGGAGAGGGAUGCGGAAUUCCAGGUGUAGCGGUGAAAUGACGUAGAUAUCUGGAGGAACACCGGUGGCGAAGGCGGCAUCCUGGACCGGUAUUGACGCUGAGGCGCGAAAGCCAGGGGAGCAAACGGGG
RNAcentral lists this ribosomal RNA (254 nucleotides) under uncultured bacterium. RNAcentral's name for it is "partial 16S ribosomal RNA". It matches the Rfam family "Bacterial small subunit ribosomal RNA", at positions 524 to 777 of the family's 1533-position model. The record is from RNAcentral.